AGCGCCGCGCGUCCUCCCGCCGACGUGCCCACGCAGCCAAUCCACGGCCGCGCAGCUAUAGAGCGAAAGAGGAGGGGCUAUCGCUUCGGCGCAAGCGCCCUACUCGCGGCAGUCAUGACAAAUUUCCGCCAGCAGCGCGGUAGAGGGAGAAGGAAGGGACACUCUUGGUGGGGACGGCGACACGAGCGCAAGGAGGCGCUAUGGAGACGGAGGAAUGGCGUCUGAGGCCAAAGCGGAGAUUGGACAUGAGGCUCACCCAAUCCACUUUAGCUUGCUCCCAGGAGCAGCAGGACAGAACGCAGCCCUUCAUUCCCCAAGGCAAUUUUUAGAGCCCAAACCUUGCUUUCCUGGAGCCACAAAUUGCUUUUCUAGAUUUAAGCCCUUGCUUUUUUUCCCUCCUAACCGUGCAAGUCCUAUAGGACUUUGUUCGGAAAGUUAACUCAGAAAUUUUUCUGUAAUAAUUUGGGGUCUCCUCAUGCCUAACACCCUCUUUUGGACCGUCUUUUGGCAAAUGUAUGCCUUGAGAUCCAAAGAGGGGAAAUGAUUUUCUGAAACUGUGUAUAGCAUGUUGGAACCAGCUGCAGAGGAGCAAGUGGAAAGAGUAUUUUAUUAGGUAUCAGCAUAUUUGAGUAUUCAUCUACUGUGUCCUCGCUAUGGACUUGGUUAGAUGUUCACAAAGUGUUUUUCUGGAGCAGCAGCAGCUGCAUCGCCUGGGAACUUGAUUAGAGAUUCAAAUUAUCAGAACUCAGAGUUCCCGUCUUGGCUCAGCGGGUUAAGAACCCUACCAGUGCCUAGAAGGAUGUGAGUUGGAUCCCUGGCCUCGCUCUGUGGGUUGAAGGUCCGUCCUUGCUGCAAAUUCAGGCAUAGGUCACAGAUGUGGCUCGGAUUCAGUGUGACUGUAGCUGUGGCCGGCUUCUGCAGCUCUGAUUCAACCCCUAACCCAGGAACUUCCAUAUGCUGUGGGUGCAGCCCAAAAUGAAGGAAAACAAAACAAAACAUUCUCAGACUCCAUCCCGGACCUACUAAUUGGAAAUUCUGGCGCAGAGCGCACAAUCGGCAUUUCAUUAAGUCCACCAGGUGGUGCCAUGCUUGCUGUUCUGUGUAACAAGGCACUUCAUUCCAGUGAGACUCCCUGCUGGCAUGCAGUGUUGGAGACAGACUGAUCAUUCUAUCAUAGAAUAUUGGAAGAAUACUUAGCCCGGGUCAAAGACAGAAAAGGCCUCUCAGUACAGCCGUGCACGCAAAGGCAGCAGCAGACACUAGUUGAGCUGCUCACUUCAAUCCUGGCUAGAUGUGCAGGGGAGCCCCAAAGGAAAAAUAAGACCAAACAGCUGGGUGGAUGAAGGAACCAAAGACCUUUGAUACCAGGUAUCAUGCCAGCUAUCUCACUUGCAUUAUUUUUAAUCUGCACACAAGCCUGGAAGGUAAUAAGCAGUGUCCCCAAUGUACUACAGAGGGACCUGGAACCCAAGAGAUGAAAGAACUUUCCCCAAGUCACACAGACUCUGAGUGCAGAGCUGGGAUACAAACCCAGGUCUUCUGGCUUCAGGGGCCCCACUACGGUUCUCGUUCUGGUUUGCCAUGGACAGCUAAAGUCAUCAUCAUAGUCCUAAAAGCGAACACUUGUCCAACACAAAAUACACCAGGUGCUCUUCUGAACACUUCCCAUCUAACUACUCUUUUCAUCUUCAGCAGCCUAUGAGACAGGUUCUGUGAUGAUCUCCAUUUUAUCUGAACUGUUGAAGAAACAGAGGCCCUGAUCAGAGGUUCAGUGACUUGCUCAAGGUCACAAGUGCAAAGGCUGGGAUGUGAUCCAGACAGCCUGGUUCCAGGCAACUACCACUGUCAGGUAUUUGCAAACAUUCUUAAUAAGCAAUGGAAAUUAAAAAAAUUAAAUACCGGAAAAAGAGAUACCUCCAGGGAUUUAAACCAACCUUUCCUGACUGAGGAGCCACUGCAUUUCCUCACUUCAGAGGUCCUGCCAACUGACAUUUCCAACACCUUUUUCCUCAUUUUCUUUCACUUCAGCAUUUACCAAGCACCUAUCAGAUACCUGACACUGAGCUGACACUUAGGAUAAGGUGAAAAAUAAGACUAGGCCUCUGGAGUUAAGUGUGAUCUGAAGAGCAAUCAGUCAAGUACAAAUGCUGACCCAAUCCAGGUGCUGUGGGAGCGCACAGCUCCUCUAGAGGUCAGGGGUGGGAGCAAAGUGGUCUCCGGUAUCCAUGGGUGUGGCAGGAAUAUGGGGGGGGU
Molecule: long non-coding RNA, 2253 nt
Organism: Phacochoerus africanus (Common warthog)
Lineage: Eukaryota; Metazoa; Chordata; Mammalia; Artiodactyla; Suidae
Exons: 4
Source: RefSeq, a predicted model, not a curated record